AAGUAAAAACGUUGAUUUAUCUAUGUAAUGAAUGUGGCAGAAUUAGAUUUUCGUGAAACGGAAAUCAUUUCUACAAUAGUAGCAAAUGAAUUUCCACGAUUAGCGUUGGACUCAAAAUUUAUUUUUUCAGCUGAAACAAUUUUUUUCUUAUUCCCUUCAUGAAAUUAUUAAUGUCCUAUAUCAUCUAUUUCCAUUAACUUUUUCUUUUUUCAAUAUUUAUCUUCAUUCAUCUUCAUUCAUUUUUGCAUGAACAUUUUUGUCGUUGAGAAAUUAAAAACAACAUUUUCCUCUUCUCGAAAUAAAUUAAAAAAUUAUAUAUAGGUAUAUUCAAGAAAGCAUUACCUAACAGGACAAAUGGACUGCGAAUAUGCUGUUUGAUCACGUAUAAUCGGCAAGUAUAAUCUUACAUAAUUAAUAUUACGUUAUCUAUACAUAAAUUGCUUUCUUCACAGAUGGACGAGGAAGAAGAAGAAGAAAAGAAAGAGGAUAGAAGAAACAGGAGAAAGAGGUCUAAGGAACGAAGUCGGAUAAAAGGGAAGAGAAAGGAGAAUCCGAGGCCGUCAACGUCGCAAAUUAAAAAAAUUCGAUACCAUAGCCAUGACUGGGAUGGCUGUCAUGGUAAUCGACGAUGCAGACGUCGCGGAGAAAGAAGAGGCAGAAGCGAGCAGUGGGCGGCAGGCGACGGGCGGCCGUCUAAUUAUUAUUUAUAUACCUAUAUUGAUAAUAUUUAAAUGAAUAAAUUGUAUAUAUAGAUCAAUUUA
Non-coding RNA from Osmia lignaria (orchard mason bee), 761 nucleotides. NCBI's taxonomy places the organism in Eukaryota, Metazoa, Arthropoda, Insecta, Hymenoptera, Megachilidae. The record is from RefSeq and is a predicted model, not a curated record.